RNAcentral lists this transfer RNA (78 nucleotides) under Hydrogenophaga intermedia. RNAcentral describes it as "tRNA-OTHER". The record is from RNAcentral. Lineage: Bacteria; Pseudomonadati; Pseudomonadota; Betaproteobacteria; Burkholderiales; Comamonadaceae.
CCUGGCCGUGGGGUGCAGCUUGGUGGCGCCGCCCACCAGGCCCACGGCCAUGGGCAGUUCGAUGCUGCCGGCCAGGUC